Gadus chalcogrammus (walleye pollock) is the source of this 313-nucleotide long non-coding RNA. RefSeq lists it as uncharacterized. The transcript is spliced from 3 exons. NCBI's taxonomy places the organism in Eukaryota, Metazoa, Chordata, Actinopteri, Gadiformes, Gadidae. The record is from RefSeq and is a predicted model, not a curated record.
CCCGCCUCCACUGUGCUCUCUCGUGCGCUCCCGAGAAGUGUAGCGUGUGCGGAACGCGACAGCCGAGCAGCAGAUAUCGGCCACUGAGCUUUGAUGAGCGGUGUUUAGGAAACUUGAUGAGCGCUUUUGGAGCUCCUUUCAGCGGCUGGUGAAGACGAGGGAGUGCUGCAGCGGUUCUCUUCUCCCACGGGUCGAAUCAAAAAAUGAAAUUCUGGAUUUGCGUGCUAGCGGUGGCCGUGGCAGUGCAGUCGACGCACGGAGUAAGUCCUGUUUCAUUGCUAUCGGCCAUUUGUUUAGUAGACCCUCCACUCAG